UUAGAUACCCUGGUAGUCCACGCCGUAAACGAUGAGUGCUAGACGUUGGGGCCCUUAGGGCUUCGGUGUCGCAGCUAACGCAUUAAGCACUCCGCCUGGGGAGUACGGCCGCAAGGUUAAAACUCAAAGGAAUUGACGGGGGCCCGCACAAGCGGUGAGCAUGUGGUUUAAUUCGAAGCAACGCGCAGAACCUUACCAGCCCUUGACAUGGGCGUCGCGGGUCCAGAGAUGGACCCUUCGGUUCGGCCGGACGCCGCACAGGUGCUGCAUGGCCGUCGUCAGCUCGUGUCGUGAGAUGUUGGGUUAAGUCCCGCAACGAGCGCAACCCCCAUCUUCGGUUGCCAUCGGGUAGAGCCGGGCACUCUGGAGAAACCGCCGGUGACAAGCCGGAGGAAGGCGGGGAUGACGUCAAGUCCUCAUGGCCCUUAUGGGCUGGGCUACACACGUGCUACAAUGGUGGUGACAGUGGGCAGCGAGAUCGCGAGAUCGAGCCAAUCUCCAAAAGCCAUCUCAGUUCGGAUCGCACUCUGCAACUCGGGUGCGUGAAGUUGGAAUCGCUAGUAAUCGCGGAUCAGCACGCCGCGGUGAAUACGUUCCCGGGCCUUGUACACACCGCCCGUCACACCAUGGGAGUUGGUUUUACCCGAAGCCGGUGGGCUAACCGCAAGGAGGCAGCCGACCACGGUCAGGUCAGCGACUGGGGUG
RNAcentral lists this ribosomal RNA (705 nucleotides) under uncultured bacterium. RNAcentral's name for it is "bacterial SSU rRNA". It matches the Rfam family "Bacterial small subunit ribosomal RNA", at positions 778 to 1482 of the family's 1533-position model. The record is from RNAcentral.